Molecule: transfer RNA, 72 nt
Filed under: bacterium
Lineage: Bacteria
Description: tRNA-Gly
Rfam family: tRNA
About the family: Transfer RNA (tRNA) molecules are approximately 80 nucleotides in length. Their secondary structure includes four short double-helical elements and three loops (D, anti-codon, and T loops).
Source: RNAcentral
GCGGGCUUCUUCGAGGUGAGGCAAGAGCCUUCCAAGCUCCCAAGGUCGGUUCGACUCCGACAGUCCGCUCCA